This 483-nucleotide ribosomal RNA is filed under the name uncultured bacterium. RNAcentral's name for it is "partial 16S ribosomal RNA". It matches the Rfam family "Bacterial small subunit ribosomal RNA", at positions 30 to 507 of the family's 1533-position model. The record is from RNAcentral.
AUUGAACGCUAGCGGGAUGCUUUACACAUGCAAGUCGAACGGCAGCGCGGACUUCGGUCUGGCGGCGAGUGGCGAACGGGUGAGUAAUGUAUCGGAACGUGCCCAGUAGCGGGGAUAACUACGCGAAAGCGGAGCUAAUACCGCAUACGCCCUACGGGGGAAAACAGGGGAUCGUAAGACCUUGCACUAUUGGAGCGGCCGAUAUCGGAUUAGCUAGUUGGUGAGGUAACGGCUCACCAAGGCGACGAUCCGUAGCUGGUUUGAGAGGACGACCAGCCACACUGGGACUGAGACACGGCCCAGACUCCUACGGGAGGCAGCAGUGGGGAAUUUUGGACAAUGGGGGCAACCCUGAUCCAGCCAUCCCGCGUGUGCGAUGAAGGCCUUCGGGUUGUAAAGCACUUUUGGCAGGAAAGAAACGUCGCGGGCUAAUACCCCGUGGAACUGACGGUACCUGCAGAAUAAGCACCGGCUAACUACGUG